CGACGACGACGACGACGACGACGACGACGACGACGACGACGACGACGACGACGACGACGACGACGACGACGACGACGACGACGACGACGACGACGACGACGACGACGACGACGACGACGACGACGACGACGACGACGACGACGACGACGACGACGACGACGACGACGACGACGACGACGACGACGACGACGACGACGACGACGACGACGACGACGACGACGACGACGACGACGACGACGACGACGACGACGACGACGACGACGACGACGACGACGACGACGACGACGACGACGACGACGACGACGACGACGACGACGACGACGACGACGACGACGACGACGACGACGACGACGACGACGACGACGACGACGACGACGACGACGACGACGACGACGACGACGACGACGACGACGACGACGACGACGACGACGACGACGACGACGACGACGACGACGACGACGACGACGACGACGACGACGACGACGACGACGACGACGACGACGACGACGACGACGACGACGACGACGACGACGACGACGACGACGACGACGACGACGACGACGACGACGACGACGACGACGACGACGACGACGACGACGACGACGACGACGACGACGACGACGACGACGACGACGACGACGACGACGACGACGACGACGACGACGACGACGACGACGACGACGACGACGACGACGACGACGACGACGACGACGACGACGACGACGACGACGACGACGACGACGACGACGACGACGACGACCACGACGACGACCACGACGACG
RNAcentral lists this long non-coding RNA (782 nucleotides) under Helianthus annuus (common sunflower). RNAcentral's name for it is "hypothetical non coding rna". The record is from RNAcentral. Lineage: Eukaryota; Viridiplantae; Streptophyta; Magnoliopsida; Asterales; Asteraceae.